UCCAUCUGUAAGGGUGUACCCUUCUGUAGAAGUACCUUGCCUUGCUGAGAAUUAAAAAGAAAAUUUUAUAUUCGAGUACUAGUUCUUUUGCAGCACCGAAACUUUAUUUAUAACAAUUUGGGGCCUCACCGGUGAUUACAUUAUCCUCCGGGGGCGGUCUCUGGUUCUCUCUUCUGAGGAGACAUGCCCCGCCCCCUUGUGGCGGCCUCGGGGGUGAGAACUCAAGACCCACUCAGUGCGAGGAAUAACCGCAGCUCUCAGCAACGCGCAGGGGAGGGGCUGGGGGGAGGGACUGGCCAGCAACCUAGCUUAAAGGAUCCUCAUAGACUGCAGCGACGAUUCUGUGCACAGACUAAGGAAGGAGAAGCUGCAGGAACCGUUUCCUGAGUUGCAAGUUUAGGCUCUUGGCUGUAAACAGUUCUUCUUUCCUAAUAUUUCAAACAUUUCAUUGAAGGAGAUCAAGAAAAUUAAUUACUGAUCAAGAGCCCACCUAAACUUGAAAACAAGCUUAUGUUACUAUAGAAGAAUGAGAGAUCACCUGGGCAAAUAUAAGACAUUUUAGAUGAUCCAUAAUAGAAUUACUAACCUCCAGUCUGUCUGCCAGCUCCACAAAGACACAAGAGCAAACCCAGAAAUUCUGAGAACCUUCCUUGAAAUCAUUGAACAGCAAAUGAACAAGCUGUUGCCAACCUGGGGUAGAAGACAGCAGUUCUAGAAGCUGAGAAGUCCAACAUCAAGGCACAGGCAGGUGGCAGGUUUGAUUGUCUGGUGAAGGCUGCCCUCUGCUUCCAAGAUGGACCCUUGUUGUUGCAUUUUCUGGAAAAAAGGAACACUGUGUUCUCAGAUGGCUGAAAGCAGAAGGAACCUCAGGCCAAGUGUUCUUGACAGCUCAUCCACAGACUCCCACUGGUAAAGCAGCAUGAGGAUGGCUUCUGUUAUUUUAUUUCAGAAUUUUUUCCUGCAGUGGCAUGCCAGUACCAGCUGAGGAUCAUGUAUGCAAUAUUUGCCUUCUUUCAUCUUCUACCUAGGAUGGCUUUAAUUCUCUUCGAGGAGAAUUUAUUUUAGUUUUUCCCAGUAAGAGAAUCCACUUCUCUUGCCCAUAUUCAUAAAUUAUCAUUAAAAAUUAAACUUGGUACAAUAAAUAUUAACAUGGUUCCAGCUUCUCCAUUGUUAUGCUCAGAAUUCAGUUCAUUGGCAGGAUCUAGGCAUAGGAUCAGUCCAAAGUUGGGCCAAGGCACAAGGAAGGUUUGCACAAGUUUAGAGCAUCAUUGAGAAUCCAUAUGGCAUCAAAUUCUGACCAUCAGAACCAAUCAUUUUAGUCAAAUUGCUGAGACACAAAUUAAGUCCAGGAAUCGGUAG
This 1359-nucleotide long non-coding RNA is filed under the name Homo sapiens (human). RNAcentral's name for it is "HSALNT0249409". Lineage: Eukaryota; Metazoa; Chordata; Mammalia; Primates; Hominidae. The record is from RNAcentral.